RNAcentral lists this ribosomal RNA (441 nucleotides) under uncultured bacterium. RNAcentral's name for it is "partial 16S ribosomal RNA". It matches the Rfam family "Bacterial small subunit ribosomal RNA", at positions 338 to 795 of the family's 1533-position model. The record is from RNAcentral.
CCUACGGGUGGCAGCAGUGGGGAAUAUUGCACAAUGGGGGAAACCCUGAUGCAGCAACGCCGCGUGAAGGAAGACGGUUUUCGGAUUGUAACCUUCUGUUCUUAGUGAAGAAUAAUGACUGUAGCUAAUGAGCAAGCAACGGCUAACUACGGGCCAGCAGCACCGGUAAUACGUAGGUGGCAAGCGUUGUUCGGAAGUACUGUGUGGAAAGGGAGCGCAGGCGGGAAGCCAAGACAGCUGUGAAAACUACGGGCUUAACGUGUAGACUGCAGUUGAAAUUGGUUUUCUUGAGUGAAGUAGAGGUUGGCGGAAGUCCGAGGGUAGCAGUGAAAUGCGGAGAUAUUCGGAGGAACACCGGUGGCGAAGGCGACCAACUGGGAUUUAACUGACGCUGAGGAUCGAAAGUGUGGGGAGCAAACAGGAUUAGAUACCCUUGUAGUC